AUGCUGAAGUGAUGAGACUGGGGAAGAAUGGUGUGGAGGAAGUUUCGGAAUUGGGUCCUCUCUGAAACUUGGCUUUGCAGCUCCGAAAGUGACCAUACUUAUAGCUAAUUAGCUCACUUGCAACAUUUGAUGUUUGUAGGAGAAAGAUAUUGAGGGGUUGAGAUAAGGAAGGAAGCACUCUGGGCAUGCUUUGCAGUGGAACCUGAUUUUGAGGCAAUGAUUU
RNAcentral lists this long non-coding RNA (223 nucleotides) under Rosa chinensis. RNAcentral describes it as "sRNA RchiOBHm_Chr4g0404391". The record is from RNAcentral. Lineage: Eukaryota; Viridiplantae; Streptophyta; Magnoliopsida; Rosales; Rosaceae.